This 253-nucleotide ribosomal RNA is filed under the name uncultured bacterium. RNAcentral's name for it is "partial 16S ribosomal RNA". It matches the Rfam family "Bacterial small subunit ribosomal RNA", at positions 524 to 776 of the family's 1533-position model. The record is from RNAcentral.
UACGUAGGGUGCGAGCGUUAAUCGGAAUUACUGGGCGUAAAGCGUGCGCAGGCGGCUUUGCAAGACAGAUGUGAAAUCCCCGGGCUCAACCUGGGAACUGCAUUUGUGACUGCAAGGCUAGAGUACGGCAGAGGGGGAUGGAAUUCCGCGUGUAACAGUGAAAUGCGUAGAUAUGCGGAGGAACACCAAUGGCGAAGGCAAUCCCCUGGGCCUGUACUGACGCUCAUGCACGAAAGCGUGGGGAGCAAACAGG